CUCCAGCCAGAAGGAUGGGGUGGCUCCCACUCCUGCUGCUUCUGACUCAAUGCUUAGGGGUCCCUGGGCAGCGCUCGCCAUUGAAUGACUUCUAGGUGCUCCGGGGCACAGAGCUACAGCGCCGCUACAAGCGGUGGUGCCCGGGCCUUGGCAGGAGGAUGUGGCAGAUGCUGAAGAGUGUGCUGGUCGCUGUGGGCCCUUAAUGGACUGCCGGGCGUUCCACUACAAUGUGAGCAGCCAUGGUUGCCAACUGCUGCCAUGGACUCAACACUCACCCCACACGAGGCUGCGGCAUUCUGGGCGCUGUGACCUCUUCCAGGAGAAAGGUACAUGCCCACGCUCCGGAAUGGCCUGGAAGAGAACUUCUGCCGUAACCCUGAUGGCGACCCCGGAGGUCCUUGGUGCCACACAACAGACCCUGCCGUGCGCUUCCAGAGCUGCGGCAUCAAAUCCUGCCGGGUGGCCGCGUGUGUCUGGUGCAAUGGCGAGGAAUACCGCGGCGCGGUAGACCGCACCGAGUCAGGGCGCGAGUGCCAGCGCUGGGAUCUUCAGCACCCGCACCAGCACCCCUUCGAGCCGGGUUCCUCGACCAAGGUCUGGACGACAACUAUUGCCGGAAUCCUGACGGCUCCGAGCGGCCAUGGUGCUACACUACGGAUCCGCAGAUCGAGCGAGAAUUCUGUGACCUCCCCCGCUGCGGGUCCGAGGCACAGCCCCGCCAAGAGGCCACAAGUGUCAGCUGCUUCCGCGGGAAGGGUGAGGGCUACCGGGGCACAGCCAAUACCACCACCGCGGGCGUACCUUGCCAGCGUUGGGACGCGCAAAUCCCGCAUCAGCACCGAUUUACGCCAGAAAAAUACGCGUGCAAGUGAGGUGGGGGGGCGGGCGUUGGGACGUGCUGCUGCGGGUGAGACGGGAGGAGGGUAGUCACGGGCUUAGGGCUGGAGGCUGGCGGGCUAGGGCUGAGUGCAGCGCCUGCUUAGAGACCUUCGGGAGAACUUCUGCCGGAACCCCGACGGCUCAGAGGCGCCCUGGUGCUUCACACUGCGGCCCGGCAUGCGCGUGGGCUUUUGCUACCAGAUCCGGCGUUGUACAGACGACGUGCGGCCCCAGGGUGAGGCCCAAGCUUGGGGGCUACAGAGCCGGGGCUGGAAGCCUGGAACCGGAGGGCCGGGGCGGGGUCUCGGCCUGAUGGCUGCCCGCACCGGCCGCAGACUGCUACCACGGCGCGGGGGAGCAGUACCGCGGCACGGUCAGCAAGACCCGCAAGGGUGUCCAGUGCCAGCGCGGGU
Molecule: long non-coding RNA, 1292 nt
Filed under: Homo sapiens (human)
Lineage: Eukaryota; Metazoa; Chordata; Mammalia; Primates; Hominidae
Description: non-protein coding lnc-CROCC-3:6
Source: RNAcentral